RNAcentral lists this ribosomal RNA (380 nucleotides) under uncultured eukaryote. RNAcentral's name for it is "partial 18S ribosomal RNA". It matches the Rfam family "Eukaryotic small subunit ribosomal RNA", at positions 592 to 976 of the family's 1831-position model. The record is from RNAcentral.
CAAUAGCGUAUAUUAAAGUUGUUGCAGUUAAAAAGCUCGUAGUUGGAUUUGUGGCGUACGGUGGGUUCCGGGCACUUGUUGUCUGAGUAACUUGCUGUUGCCAUCCUUGGGUGGAACCUGUGUGGCAUUAGGUUGUCGUGCAGGGGAUGCCCAUCACUUACUGUGAAAAAAUUAGAGUGUUCAAAGCAGGCUUAUGCCGUUGAAUAUAUUAGCAUGGAAUAAUGAGAUAGGACUUUUUUGCUAUUUUGUUGGUUUGCGCAAAGAGGUAAUGAUUAAUAGGGACAGUUGGGGGUAUUCGUAUUCCAUUGUCAGAGGUGAAAUUCUUGGAUUUUUGGAAGACAAACUACUGCGAAAGCAUUUACCAAGGAUGUUUUCAUUAA